AAGCAAACGAAUUAGAUAGAGGUUCACACUCAGUUGCAGCAACAGGGAGUGCCUUGAUAUGGUUCUUUUUUUUCUCUUGACUGUCUUUUCCAGAUUCCUGAACACAUUCAGAAAUAAAGAAAAAGUAACAACAUAAUUUAGCAACAUUCAGUUGUACACAAAAAGGUGUUCAAAUCCCGACAACAAAUCUUACAGUAGUACAUACACGAAGCCAUACUAACUUCCAACAUGGCCACCAAACAGAUGGCAAGAAAUUUAAAGAUAAAAACAAACGUAUAUUUAGUAAGCGAUGGCUUCAGCAAAAGAUACAGAAACGAACCUCCUUCUCAGGCACAUUAUUCUUGUACAACCCAUUAAACUCCAAAAAAAACAUCUAACCAUAAUAGAAAAUUAAAAAAUGAGCUGAAAAUGACUGUUGUGCUCUAUGCACGAUAUGUGAUAAAGGCACCAAUAACACCCUCCAAGUCUUCAAUAUCAGUUUACUCGGAACUUACUUUUGCAAAUUCUCUCUUUUUUUUACCAUUCAUGCUGUUAUACCACGUGAGAAUGCACUAAACCUAGUUAUCCCAAACCAAAGGCCCAUGGUCAUGUUGUGCUUAGUUUUCUCAAUCACUCAAUUUUUUUUAUCCGCAAAGAAUUAAUAAAUUAAAAAAAAAAGACACUUCAGGGGUGUCCCAACCCGUAUACAUGGUUCUAGACCACUGGUUCUAGACCACAGAGAGCACAUACAAAACUCACAAAAACCUGCUGAACAAGUGCAAUGACAUUCCUAAGAACUACCAAAGAUCAAAAGCACACUUCCCAACAGAGUGAUAUUAAGCUAAACACAACCAAUAACAAACAGCAAAGACAAAUCUGGUGGCUUCAAGAUUGCAUGUAGGCAGCUGGACAAUUCAGCAUAGCCAAUUCCAAGAAUUCUAACAGCAGAUGAUGUUGUGACUGUAGUAAAUUAGGCUUUAAAACGAACAAAAAGAUUUCCCAAGGCGUAAGUAAUCACUGUCCGUAAGGACUUAUCCUCGGUGUAUUGCGCAAGUCCUCCAGGAUACAACAGGAACUUCCCGAUAAUUUCCGAGGAUCAAAACUAGCAAGUUUCUUUUUAAAAGAGUAAUACAAAAUAGAACCCAGAAAUAUUAUAAUAUUAAAAUAAUCUAAUAAAUGAUGAGAGAGAAAACUAAAAAUUUAAAGGUGAUAGGAAGAGGAGUUUCACGGUGGUGUUGGGUGAAGAAGAUGAAGAAGGUGAGUGAGAGUUGGGUGUUUUCUGAAGCAAAGGGUUGCGGCUUUUAUAGAUGAAGAAAGUAACUGCAUCCCACUACAUGAGCAACUCUGCUUCCCACGGUCAAGGCGGUUCCGAGCUGUUGCGGAGAGAAAGACUACGUCUUCCUGGAGAGUGCGGAGCAGAUCUGGAUCUGUUGAGAGCAUGCACGUUCUGAGAGACCCAUUCAAGGUAGGAACCGAGGUCCCCUUAGGUUGCAGAAGGUCGGGACUCUAUCCCACGUUCAACCUCUGCGAAACGAGGGUUUCAAACGUUGGUCCUCUACGAACGAGGGUUUCGGAGGUUUGUGCGCUCACUCAGAUUUCCGUUUCUGCACAUACUCUGUUUCUAGAUUUUCUGUUUUGCAAUAUUAUAGAAUCUGUUUUACAAAUAGAGAUUCUGUUUUACAACAGUGACAACUAAUUUUCUGGUUUAAAAUCAGGCCCCUGUAACUACAAAAGUGGCUCCCACAACGUUGUACCUCAAGGACGCAAACACAAGUAGGUGCAAGGGAACAAAAACUGCAAAUGUGGAAGCAGGAUAAAACCAGCAUAGCAUACGAAAAAAAUCCUUCCUGGCUCCCCUUGGCGACACUAAAGCUCCGCGCUCAAGAACUCCAGAAGCAAGCUAUGUUCCAUUAGUGGAUCCCAAACUUCAACCAUCCAAGCCAACUUCAUGGACAGAUCUGUGGCACUUGUCCCUCAUAAGAUACCCUGUUAUGCACCCCAUCCACACCUAUGGAACACCUUCAAUGGCCACAAUUCCACACCAGAAACGGAUAAAGCACCACCAGCCACAAGCACCUGUUUGGGAUGUAUUUAUGAUUUAGCAACCACAACCCAAAACCUCACCCACAUCCUCCUUCAGCAAGGUUAGAAACCAGCAGCAGGAUAACCACCAAGCAAAUACCAGAAGCUGUUUACAUCCCUCUGUACCAAUGAAUAUGAAGCCUUUCCAUUGCUCAACAUAACUAUUUCCAUUCUUACCAACCUACUCCUAGGUCCCUCCUCUCCUUAUACAGAUACUCAAGACAACCUGCAACCUCCUAACAUCAGCCUUUUGAAAGCAAAGAACAAAAUUAGUAUGCAUGAAAACACAACUUGUGAGGUGUUAACAACAGCUUUGGAUGGAAACUUUAGCUGAGCAUCGAUUACUCUAAUCAAAGAGGAUUCCCCUGCUACUCACUUAAAUCAACCCAGCUGUGACCGAUACACCAUUUAACACUCCACACCUCCCUGUUGACUCCACACCUGAGCCAUGUACCAUUACACGGUGAUUUUUACAGCCUAAGAUUCAACACACUCACACCACAACAAGGAGACACUGGUUGGGGUUAAAAUUCAAUCAGAGAAAGCGUACGAGAAACCAACUACCUUGUGUUUUAACCACAACCAAGGACUGUAGUUGGGCAUUCUGAAAAAUCUCAUUAGCAUCAGGGACCCUUCCUUGAAAACCACCAGAUUCCUCUGUUUCCAAAUGCAACUGACAAUUGCCGCCCACAAUCCUAGCCAUACCUGGUUUUGUUUAUUAGAGAGAUGGAUUAAGUGAAAAUUCUCCAUGUGAUUCUUAAUACCCUGUCUUGGCCCCCAAAAUACCAAUCCAACAAUAACACAUUGACCACACUCGUUGUGGGAAGACAGUCUAGGAAGAGGUGUUGAGAGGAUUCCUCUAACGUAUUGCAUAACGCACACAGAGACGAAUUCAUUCUCAAUCACUCAAUCUUGUAAUAAUAAUUUCAAAUUAAUCCAUACAUGGGUAUAACUUGUCAACAAAAAACUAGGCACUAGUAAGUAAGUAAACUUGAGUAACUUUAUUUUACAGUUAUUUCCACAUGCACAUUGACUC
This 3097-nucleotide long non-coding RNA is filed under the name Phaseolus vulgaris (common bean). RNAcentral's name for it is "long non-coding RNA (PVUL_LNC002951)". Lineage: Eukaryota; Viridiplantae; Streptophyta; Magnoliopsida; Fabales; Fabaceae. The record is from RNAcentral.